GAUGAACGCUGGCGGCGUGCUUAACACAUGCAAGUCGAACGGAAAGGCUCCUGCUUGCAGGGGUACUCGAUUGGCGAACGGGUGAGCAACACGUGGGUGUUCUGCCCUUCACUUCGGGAUAAGCCUUGGAAACUGGGGCUAAUACCGGAUAGGACAACAUUAUGGAUGGUGUGGUGGAAUGUUUUGCGGUGUGGGAUGAGCUCGCGGCCUAUCAGCUUGUUGGUGGGGUAAUUGCCUACCAAGGCGUCGACGGAUAGCCGGCCUGGGAGGGUGGACGGCCACAUUGGUACUGCGAUACGGACCAGACUCCUACGGGCGGCAGAAGUCGGGAAUAUUGCACAAUGGGCGCAAGCGUGAUGCAGCGACGCCGCGUGCGGGAUGACGGCCUUCGGGUUGUAAACACCUUUCGCUAGGGACGAAGCGCAAGUGACGGUACCUGGAGAAGAAGCACCGGCUAACUACGUG
Molecule: ribosomal RNA, 465 nt
Filed under: uncultured bacterium
Lineage: Bacteria
Description: partial 16S ribosomal RNA
Rfam family: Bacterial small subunit ribosomal RNA
Source: RNAcentral